Molecule: long non-coding RNA, 232 nt
Filed under: Musa acuminata (dwarf banana)
Lineage: Eukaryota; Viridiplantae; Streptophyta; Magnoliopsida; Zingiberales; Musaceae
Description: long non-coding RNA (MACU_LNC006644)
Source: RNAcentral
GUUAACUGGCCGAUUGGGCAAUAGGCCACAAGAGAGGAUAAUGUGUUGAAGAAUCAGAUGAAGCAUCGAUGGACCAAUGACAUACCAAACAACCUGAUUCAUGCUUAGUAAUAAUUGUCUAGAUCGAAGUAUGUUUUUAUAUGUGCAGGAUUAACUACGAUAGCAAGGCAUAAAGCAAAAUAAAGUCCCAGAAUCAAGAACGCGAUUUCGUUGGAAGUUCGAGAGUUCAUCG